Molecule: ribosomal RNA, 313 nt
Filed under: uncultured bacterium
Lineage: Bacteria
Description: bacterial SSU rRNA
Rfam family: Bacterial small subunit ribosomal RNA
Source: RNAcentral
UAUCCGGAAUUAUUGGGCGUAAAGAGCUCGUAGGCGGUUCGUCGCGUCCGGUGUGAAAGUCCAUCGCUUAACGGUGGAUCCGCGCCGGGUACGGGCGGGCUUGAGUGCGGUAGGGGAGACUGGAAUUCCCGGUGUAACGGUGGAAUGUGUAGAUAUCGGGAAGAACACCAAUGGCGAAGGCAGGUCUCUGGGCCGUUACUGACGCUGAGGAGCGAAAGCGUGGGGAGCGAACAGGAUUAGAUACCCUGGUAGUCCACGCCGUAAACGGUGGAUGCUGGAUGUGGGGCCCGUUCCCCGGGUUCCGUGUCGUGAG